GAUGAACGCUGGCGGCGUGCUUAACACAUGCAAGUCGAACGGUGAAGCAGGAGCUUGCUCUUGUGGAUCAGUGGCGAACGGGUGAGUAACACGUGAGCAACCUGCCCCUGACUCUGGGAUAAGCGCUGGAAACGGCGUCUAAUACUGGAUAUGUGAUGUGACCGCAUGGUCUGCAUCUGCAAAGAAUUUCGGUUGGGGAUGGGCUCGCGGCCUAUCAGCUUGUUGGUGAGGUAAUGGCCCACCAAGGCGUCGACGGGUAGCCGGCCUGAGAGGGUGACCGGCCACACUGGGACUGAGACACGGCCCAGACUCCUACGGGAGGCAGCAGUGGGGAAUAUUGCACGAUGGGCGGAAGCCUGAUGCAGCAACGCCGCGUGAGGGAUGACGGCCUUCGGGUUGUAAACCUCUUUUAGCAGGGAAGAAGCGAAAGUGACGGUACCUGCAGAAAAAGCACCGGCUAACUACGUGCCAGCCGCCGCGGUAA
This 484-nucleotide ribosomal RNA is filed under the name uncultured bacterium. Its description in RNAcentral is "partial 16S ribosomal RNA". It matches the Rfam family "Bacterial small subunit ribosomal RNA", at positions 28 to 523 of the family's 1533-position model. The record is from RNAcentral.